This 1343-nucleotide ribosomal RNA is filed under the name uncultured bacterium. Its description in RNAcentral is "16S ribosomal RNA". It matches the Rfam family "Bacterial small subunit ribosomal RNA", at positions 28 to 1378 of the family's 1533-position model. The record is from RNAcentral.
GACGAACGCUGGCGGCGUGCUUAACACAUGCAAGUCGAACGGAAAGGCCCUGCUUUUGUGGGGUGCUCGAGUGGCGAACGGGUGAGUAACACGUGAGUAACCUGCCCUUGACUUUGGGAUAACUUCAGGAAACUGGGGCUAAUACCGGAUAGGAGCUCCUGCUGCAUGGUGGGGGUUGGAAAGUUUCGGCGGUUGGGGAUGGACUCGCGGCUUAUCAGCUUGUUGGUGGGGUAGUGGCUUACCAAGGCUUUGACGGGUAGCCGGCCUGAGAGGGUGACCGGCCACAUUGGGACUGAGAUACGGCCCAGACUCCUACGGGAGGCAGCAGUGGGGAAUAUUGCACAAUGGGCGGAAGCCUGAUGCAGCAACGCCGCGUGCGGGAUGACGGCCUUCGGGUUGUAAACCGCUUUCGCCUGUGACGAAGCGUGAGUGACGGUAAUGGGUAAAGAAGCACCGGCUAACUACGUGCCAGCAGCCGCGGUGAUACGUAGGGUGCGAGCGUUGUCCGGAUUUAUUGGGCGUAAAGGGCUCGUAGGUGGUUGAUCGCGUCGGAAGUGUAAUCUUGGGGCUUAACCCUGAGCGUGCUUUCGAUACGGGUUGACUUGAGGAAGGUAGGGGAGAAUGGAAUUCCUGGUGGAGCGGUGGAAUGCGCAGAUAUCAGGAGGAACACCAGUGGCGAAGGCGGUUCUCUGGGCCUUUCCUGACGCUGAGGAGCGAAAGCGUGGGGAGCGAACAGGCUUAGAUACCCCGGUAGUCCACGCUGUAAACGGUGGGUACUAGGUGUGGGGUCCAUUCCACGGGUUCCGUGCCGUAGCUAACGCUUUAAGUACCCCGCCUGGGGAGUACGGCCGCAAGGCUAAAACUCAAAGGAAUUGACGGGGCCCCGCACAAGCGGCGGAGCAUGCGGAUUAAUUCGAUGCAACGCGUAGAACCUUACCUGGGUUUGACAUGGAUCGGGAGUGCUCAGAGAUGGGUGUGCCUCUUUUGGGGUCGGUUCACAGGUGGUGCAUGGCUGUCGUCAGCUCGUGUCGUGAGAUGUUGGGUUAAGUCCCGCAACGAGCGCAACCCUUGUUCACUGUUGCCAGCACGUUAUGGUGGGGACUCAGUGGAGACCGCCGGGGUCAACUCGGAGGAAGGUGGGGAUGACGUCAAGUCAUCAUGCCCCUUAUGUCCAGGGCUUCACGCAUGCUACAAUGGCUGGUACAGAGAGUGGCGAGCCUGUGAGGGUGAGCGAAUCUCGGAAAGCCGGUCUCAGUUCGGAUUGGGGUCUGCAACUCGACCUCAUGAAGUCGGAGUCGCUAGUAAUCGCAGAUCAGCAACGCUGCGGUGAAUACGUUCCCGGG